RNAcentral lists this ribosomal RNA (482 nucleotides) under uncultured bacterium. Its description in RNAcentral is "partial 16S ribosomal RNA". It matches the Rfam family "Bacterial small subunit ribosomal RNA", at positions 30 to 507 of the family's 1533-position model. The record is from RNAcentral.
AUUGAACGCUGGCGGCAUGCUUUACACAUGCAAGUCGAACGGUAACAGGCCGCAAGGUGCUGACGAGUGGCGAACGGGUGAGUAAUGCAUCGGAACGUGCCCAGUCGUGGGGGAUAACUACUCGAAAGAGUAGCUAAUACCGCAUACGAUCUAUGGAUGAAAGCGGGGGACCGUAAGGCCUCGCGCGAUUGGAGAGGCCGAUGUCAGAUUAGGUAGUUGGUGGGGUAAAGGCUCACCAAGCCAACGAUCUGUAGCUGGUCUGAGAGGACGACCAGCCACACUGGGACUGAGACACGGCCCAGACUCCUACGGGAGGCAGCAGUGGGGAAUUUUGGACAAUGGGCGCAAGCCUGAUCCAGCAAUGCCGCGUGCAGGAAGAAGGCCUUCGGGUUGUAAACUGCUUUUGUACGGAACGAAACGGCUCUGGUUAAUACCCGGGGCUAAUGACGGUACCGUAAGAAUAAGCACCGGCUAACUACGUG